Molecule: ribosomal RNA, 771 nt
Filed under: uncultured bacterium
Lineage: Bacteria
Description: bacterial SSU rRNA
Rfam family: Bacterial small subunit ribosomal RNA
Source: RNAcentral
AGAGUUUGAUCCUGGCUCAGGACGAACGCUGGCGGCGUGCUUAACACAUGCAAGUCGAGCGGUAAGGCCCUUCGGGGUACACGAGCGGCGAACGGGUGAGUAACACGUGGGUGACCUGCCCUCAGCUCUGGGAUAAGCCUGGGAAACUGGGUCUAAUACCGGAUAUGACCUCUCAUCGCAUGGUGGGUGGUGGAAAGUUUUUCGGCUGGGGAUGGGCCCGCGGCCUAUCAGCUUGUUGGUGGGGUGAUGGCCUACCAAGGCGACGACGGGUAGCCGGCCUGAGAGGGCGACCGGCCACACUGGGACUGAGACACGGCCCAGACUCCUACGGGAGGCAGCAGUGGGGAAUAUUGCGCAAUGGGCGGAAGCCUGACGCAGCGACGCCGCGUGGGGGAUGACGGCCUUCGGGUUGUAAACCUCUUUCGACCGGGACGAAGCGGAAGUGACGGUACCGGUAGAAGAAGCACCGGCCAACUACGUGCCAGCAGCCGCGGUAAUACGUAGGGUGCGAGCGUUGUCCGGAAUUAUUGGGCGUAAAGAGCUCGUAGGCGGUGUGUCGCGUCGGUCGUGAAAACUUGGGGCUUAACCCUGAGCUUGCGGUCGAUACGGGCAUCACUGGAGUUCGGCAGGGGAGACUGGAAUUCCUGGUGUAGCGGUGAAAUGCGCAGAUAUCAGGAGGAACACCGGUGGCGAAGGCGGGUCUCUGGGCCGAUACUGACGCUGAGGAGCGAAAGCGUGGGGAGCGAACAGGAUUAGAUACCCUAGUAGUCC